Non-coding RNA from Schistosoma haematobium, 45 nucleotides. Lineage: Eukaryota; Metazoa; Platyhelminthes; Trematoda; Strigeidida; Schistosomatidae. The record is from Rfam.
AUCCAGCUGACGAGUCCCAAAUUAGACGAAAUGAGCGUCCUGGAU